Alosa alosa (allis shad) is the source of this 881-nucleotide long non-coding RNA. RefSeq lists it as uncharacterized. NCBI's taxonomy places the organism in Eukaryota, Metazoa, Chordata, Actinopteri, Clupeiformes, Clupeidae. The transcript is spliced from 4 exons. The record is from RefSeq and is a predicted model, not a curated record.
GGCUGGAAUUGCUAGCGGUACAUCGGCCGUUGAGCGUGAAUCGCUUCAGACAAACUCUGGGUGGCAGCCAGUAGCGUUAGCAUUCAUCGCCAGCUGUGCAAGUUUGUUUCACUAGAGUAUGCCGAAAGCCUGUCCCCCUCCUACCUCGGCUCACCUCUUGUGAUGACCGGUCAUUGACUUUUUAAGGCCUUCGAAUUGUGGGCAAGGGGUUCUGACCACUGUUUUCUCCGUGUUUUGUUUGAGUUCUAGUAUCGUAGCCAGUCAUGUUUUUCUUUUAGUUUGGGGUUGUUGAUAUCGUGUCUGUGUGUGGGUGUGUGCGCGUGCGUCUUCGUACGGGCAGGCGCUUUGUCUGUUUUUUUGGUUUGUUUUGGGUUUUCUUAAUUUCUUAUAUAUUUUGCCCCGUGCUUCUCUCUUUGUCCAUCUACGGCCUGCGGCCUACUGAACUUCAUCUAAUCAGCCAAACCUGUGUAGUAGCCUGCUUUGUGUGAGCACCUGUUAGUGUGGGUUGACAAUUGCUGUGUAUCCUCGUGUGAUGAAAUUACUUCCUUAGAUAGAAUGGUGUGUAGUUCGAAGUAACGUUGUGUGACUUAUAGCUUAGUCCAUCACUUCCCAGCUUGAUUCUAUAGAGGUUGCGGUCUGACUGAGAUGUAGUGGGUGGGUGUGGGCCCAUAUUUCUUAAGAGUUGGGGGCAUUUGUGUCUGUUUAUGGUAUUUUGUCUUUAUGUUGGCUGUGUGUAUUUUCCUUUGUUAUUGUUAUGUGUAUUCUGUACUCUCUCUCUUUUUAAAGAAAAAAAACCAAGAAACUUUCUAAGAAAAUGAUAAGACAAGGACUACAAACAAAUAAACUAUUUAUUGACUGAGACAGCCUCUAUGUUCAUUUAC